RNAcentral lists this long non-coding RNA (636 nucleotides) under Triticum aestivum (bread wheat). RNAcentral's name for it is "long non-coding RNA (TAES_LNC006407)". Lineage: Eukaryota; Viridiplantae; Streptophyta; Magnoliopsida; Poales; Poaceae. The record is from RNAcentral.
GAGAUACUACUCGUAGGUAACCAUCAAACAGUUCAAGAACUUAUACUCAUGGCUUAAACAUGUGAAAAGCACCUUACCAAGAGAUUAAAAUCUAUACAAAGAACCCAUGGUCAUCAUCCAAUUCUUCUUGUCCCAAAGGAGCAACAUGGCCAUCAUUACGUAAGCCUCAUCAUCAUUCGUAUCAUCAUCAGGUUCGAGUCUCUUUAUCACUAAAAGAACAACAACUACUCUUCUCUUCUCUUCAUCACCAAACUGUUAGUGUUGGGCACUAGCUUUUGUUCUCAUUUGCCACAACAGAUGACACUAUGCAGGGGUGCCUUGUUUGAACCUGUUUCACAUCAGAUUAAACUUCAGGAGAGAUACUACUCGUAGGUAACCAUAAAAAAAGUUCAGGGUAUUAUAUUCAUGGCUUAAACAUGUGAAAAGCACCUUACCAAGAGAUUAAAAACUAUACAAAGAACCCCUGGUCAUCAUCCGAUUCUUCUUGUCCCAAAGGAGCAACAUGGCCAUCAUUUACGUAAGCCUCAUCAUCAUCUGUAUCAUCAUCAGAUUUGAACUAGACAUCUUCAAACUCAAUAGGUUUUAUAUUUUCUAUGACCGAAACAUCAACGCUGGAUCCUUCGUCAUCAUUUCUAC